RNAcentral lists this ribosomal RNA (484 nucleotides) under uncultured bacterium. Its description in RNAcentral is "partial 16S ribosomal RNA". It matches the Rfam family "Bacterial small subunit ribosomal RNA", at positions 30 to 507 of the family's 1533-position model. The record is from RNAcentral.
AUUGAACGCUGGCGGCAGGCCUAACACAUGCAAGUCGAGCGGAUGAAGGGAGCUUGCUCCUGGAUUCAGCGGCGGACGGGUGAGUAAUGCCUAGGAAUCUGCCUGGUAGUGGGGGAUAACGUCCGGAAACGGGCGCUAAUACCGCAUACGUCCUGAGGGAGAAAGUGGGGGAUCUUCGGACCUCACGCUAUCAGAUGAGCCUAGGUGGGAUUAGCUAGUUGGUGGGGUAAAGGCCUACCAAGGCGACGAUCCGUAACUGGUCUGAGAGGAUGAUCAGUCACACUGGAACUGAGAUACGGUCCAGACUCCUACGGGAGGCAGCAGUGGGGAAUAUUGGACAAUGGGCGAAAGCCUGAUCCAGCCAUGCCGCGUGUGUGAAGAAGGUCUUCGGAUUGUAAAGCACUUUAAGUUGGGAGGAAGGGCAGUAAGUUAAUACCUUGCUGUUUUGACGUUACCAACAGAAUAAGCACCGGCUAACUUCGUG